RNAcentral lists this ribosomal RNA (425 nucleotides) under uncultured rumen bacterium. Its description in RNAcentral is "bacterial SSU rRNA". It matches the Rfam family "Bacterial small subunit ribosomal RNA", at positions 354 to 776 of the family's 1533-position model. The record is from RNAcentral.
GUGAGGAAUAUUGGUCAAUGGACGCAAGUCUGAACCAGCCAAGUAGCGUGCAGGAUGACGGCCCUAUGGGUUGUAAACUGCUUUUAUACAGGGAUAAAGUCAGUUACGUGUAACUGUUUGUAGGUACUGUAUGAAUAAGGACCGGCUAAUUCCGUGCCAGCAGCCGCGGUAAUACGGAAGGUCCAGGCGUUAUCCGGAUUUAUUGGGUUUAAAGGGAGCGCAGGCUGAUGAUUAAGCGUGACGUGAAAUGUAGCCGCUCAACGGCUGAACUGCGUCGCGAACUGGUUAUCUUGAGUGAGUUCGAUGUUGGCGGAAUUCGUGGUGUAGCGGUGAAAUGCUUAGAUAUCACGAAGAACUCCGAUUGCGAAGGCAGCCAACAAGGCCUUUACUGACGCUAAAGCUCGAAGGUGCGGGUAUCGAACAGG